AGGAGAUCUUGGUGGCCUCAGAUACUUCCUAGUUGUGUGACCCUGGGCAAGUCACUUAACCCCCCAUUGCCUAGCCUUUACCACAUUUCUGCCUUGGACUUGGUACUUAGUAUCCAUUCUAAGACAGAAAAUAAGGGGAAGAGAGAAAAACAGAAAGAGGAGAGACAGAGAUGGAGAGAGAGAAGAAGAAGAAGAAGAAGAAGAAGAAGAAGAAGAAGAAGAAGAAGAAGAAGAAGAAGAAGAAGAAGAAGAAAGAAAGAAAGAAAGAAAGAAAGAAAGAAAGAAAGAAAGAAAGAAAGAAAGAAAGAAAGAAAGAAAGAAAGAAAGAAAGAAAGAAAGAAAGAAAGAAAGAAAGAAAGAAAGAAAGAAAGAAAGAAAGAAAGAAAGAAAGAAAGAAAGAAAGAAAGAAAGAAAGAAAGAAAGAAAGAAAGAAAGAAAGAAAGAAAGAAAAAGAAAGAAAGAAAGAAAGAAAGAAAGAAAGAAAAAGAAAGAAAGAAAAAGAAAGAAAGAAAGAAAGAAAGAAAGAAAGAAAGAAAGAAAGAAAGAAAGAGAAAGAAAGAAGAGGGAG
This 568-nucleotide long non-coding RNA is filed under the name Monodelphis domestica (gray short-tailed opossum). RNAcentral describes it as "lncRNA (ENSMODG00000037123.1)". The record is from RNAcentral. Lineage: Eukaryota; Metazoa; Chordata; Mammalia; Didelphimorphia; Didelphidae.